GAUGAAGUCUAUAUGAAUGUUCCACCUGUUGCCUCAAAACCUUCAACAAAUGAGACAGGGUCAAGGAGUUCAGAGAGGAGAUUUCAUGGAGGUGUUGUUCUGGGGCUGGGGCUGCUUAGUGGGUUCCUGUUAGCUGGACUCAUCGGCCUCAGUGUCUACUAUUACUACUCAUCACAGCAUUCAGCUGAGGAACUCAUCGCUAUAAAAGCCAGACUGACUGAAGAGAG
Molecule: long non-coding RNA, 227 nt
Organism: Scomber japonicus (chub mackerel)
Lineage: Eukaryota; Metazoa; Chordata; Actinopteri; Scombriformes; Scombridae
Exons: 3
Source: RefSeq, a predicted model, not a curated record